RNAcentral lists this ribosomal RNA (137 nucleotides) under Proteiniclasticum ruminis. RNAcentral's name for it is "16S rRNA. Bacterial SSU". It matches the Rfam family "Bacterial small subunit ribosomal RNA", at positions 1 to 126 of the family's 1533-position model. The record is from RNAcentral. Lineage: Bacteria; Bacillati; Bacillota; Clostridia; Eubacteriales; Clostridiaceae.
UUUAAAUUGAGAGUUUGAUCCUGGCUCAGGACGAACGCUGGCGGCGUGCCUAACACAUGCAAGUCGAGCGGAGAAUGCGGAUAUGUUUACAUAGAAGCGUUCUUAGCGGCGGACGGGUGAGUAACACGUGGGUAACC